This is a transfer RNA of Astyanax mexicanus (Mexican tetra), 73 nucleotides long. It matches the Rfam family "tRNA". From Rfam's summary of the family: Transfer RNA (tRNA) molecules are approximately 80 nucleotides in length. Their secondary structure includes four short double-helical elements and three loops (D, anti-codon, and T loops). Further hydrogen bonds mediate the characteristic L-shaped molecular structure. tRNAs have two regions of fundamental functional importance: the anti-codon, which is responsible for specific mRNA codon recognition, and the 3' end, to which the tRNAs corresponding amino acid is attached (by aminoacyl-tRNA synthetases). tRNAs cope with the degeneracy of the genetic code in two manners: having more than one tRNA (with a specific anti-codon) for a particular amino acid; and 'wobble' base-pairing, i.e. permitting non-standard base-pairing at the 3rd anti-codon position. The record is from Rfam. Lineage: Eukaryota; Metazoa; Chordata; Actinopteri; Characiformes; Acestrorhamphidae.
GUUUCUGUAGUGUAGUGGUUAUCACGUUCGCCUAACACGCGAAAGGUCCCUGGUUCGAAACCAGGCAGGAACA